Molecule: ribosomal RNA, 253 nt
Filed under: uncultured bacterium
Lineage: Bacteria
Description: partial 16S ribosomal RNA
Rfam family: Bacterial small subunit ribosomal RNA
Source: RNAcentral
UACGAAGGGUGCAAACGUUGCUCGGAAUUAUUGGGCGUAAAGCGCACGUAGGCGGCAUUGCAAGUCGAAUGUGAAAUCCCUCGGCUUAACCAAGGAAGUGCAUCCGAAACUGCAGUGCUUGAGUACUUAAGAGGAUCGCGGAAUUCUCGGUGUAGAGGUGAAAUUCGUAGAUAUCGGGAGGAACACCAGUGGCGAAGGCGGCGAUCUGGGAAGAUACUGACGCUGAGGUGCGAAAGCGUGGGGAGCAAACAGG